CGGCGAAUAAUGCGAUACAAAAUAGCGGGUGGAGCGCGCUGGCAUAUCUGGUGAAAAUCAGGGUGCAUCCGCAUCGUAGGUUCGACUCCUACUUCGCCGU
This 100-nucleotide transfer RNA is filed under the name Patescibacteria group bacterium. RNAcentral describes it as "tRNA-OTHER". The record is from RNAcentral.